RNAcentral lists this ribosomal RNA (253 nucleotides) under uncultured bacterium. Its description in RNAcentral is "partial 16S ribosomal RNA". It matches the Rfam family "Bacterial small subunit ribosomal RNA", at positions 524 to 776 of the family's 1533-position model. The record is from RNAcentral.
UACGGAGGGUGCAAGCGUUAUCCGGAUUCACUGGGUUUAAAGGGUGCGUAGGUGGGCUGGUAAGUCAGUGGUGAAAUCUCCAGGCUUAACUUGGAAACUGCCAUUGAUACUAACAGUCUUGAAUACCGUGGAGGUCAGCGGAAUAUGUCAUGUAGCGGUGAAAUGCUUAGAUAUGACAUAGAACACCAAUUGCGAAGGCAGCUGGCUACACGAAUAUUGACACUGAUGCACGAAAGCGUGGGGAUCAAACAGG